Trifolium pratense (red clover) is the source of this 197-nucleotide long non-coding RNA. RefSeq lists it as uncharacterized. Lineage: Eukaryota; Viridiplantae; Streptophyta; Magnoliopsida; Fabales; Fabaceae. The record is from RefSeq and is a predicted model, not a curated record. The transcript is spliced from 3 exons.
UUCUCUCUGGUUUUCAUACAGGUACAGUAUUUGCAUAUGGAGUAACAAGCAGUGGGAAGACUCAUACAAUGCAUGGUGAUCAAAGAUCUCCUGGAAUCAUACCUCUUGCUGUGAAGGAUGCUUUUAGCAUUAUCCAAGAGACUCCAAACCGAGAGUUUCUCCUUCGAGUUUCGUACUUGGAAAUCUACAAUGAGGUA